Molecule: non-coding RNA, 269 nt
Filed under: Paenibacillus sp.
Lineage: Bacteria; Bacillati; Bacillota; Bacilli; Caryophanales; Paenibacillaceae
Description: T-box sequence
Rfam family: T-box leader
About the family: Uncharged tRNA acts as the effector for transcription antitermination of genes in the T-box leader family. T-boxes are found upstream of many aminoacyl-tRNA synthetase genes and some amino acid biosynthetic genes usually in Gram-positive bacteria.
Source: RNAcentral
AGAACAACGUGGAUCGGGAGUAGUAGACAGUAUGACCUUUCAGAGAGCGGGAUUGUAACGCUGGGAAAUUCCGUAGGAACCAACUGAUCGAAGUCGCCCGGGAGUUGCCUGUUUGAAUACAAGGGAUGAGUCAUUCAUACCUGAGGUAGGAUGGGCCGGUCGCAGCCGUUAUCUGCUUGAAGUGUCACGUAAGUGUAGGAGGGGAAGUCUGUCUUUCUAUCUGCGUGAAACAAAGGUGGUACCGCGAAAGCUAACCUUUCGUCCUUUGA